This 14618-nucleotide long non-coding RNA is filed under the name Equus caballus (horse). Its description in RNAcentral is "lncRNA (ENSECAG00000053795.1)". The record is from RNAcentral. Lineage: Eukaryota; Metazoa; Chordata; Mammalia; Perissodactyla; Equidae.
CUCUUAUCGCGAAGUCCCUUCCUUCAACGCCCUGUUUCCUCUCUCGGGUUUCCUCCCUCCCCCGCCAAGGAGGGGGAAGGUGGAAAAGGGGAGUGUGGUGGGGCGGGUGAUAAUGGGGAGGUAUCGGGGCAUAUAAUAGAGGAGGGGGUGGGCCAAGAGAGCGCUAGUGCGUAGAGACGAUUCUAGGAGAAGAGGUGCUCGGAGGAAAGGGUGGGGGCUGCUGAUGUAAUGGGGAGAAGUGAUUAAUCCUUCGGUUCGCCGUUUGAGCCUCCCCCCCACACCCGAUUUUUUAAGCAGAAAAAAAAAAAGUGGAGCGAGGGAGCCGAUCUUUGGUAAUUUGGUUUUCUGUGGUAGGUAGGUUCAAAGUCUGAGCUGUAGGGAGCGCUAGAGAUUCUGUGCCCUUUAGCCAAGCUGAGGGUAUGUGCAAACCUUGGAGAUCCACUUUACGGAGCUUUGAGCUUGAUAACUGAAGUUUGGAGUCGGUUCCUAACCGUCGUCUAAAAGGAGUCAUCUAAGUCUUGAAAAGGUUUUUUGGUCAGUAGGCGAUAGACCUUUGGUCGGUUUACUUUUUGGAGACGUAGUCUAUGUAAAAUGUUCCGGGAAAUAAUAGGUGAGAAAAGGAGAGAAGUAAAUGCGUUGAGGUUGUGAUUGUGAUUUAAAAGUAAUUUUUUUUUAGAUCCCACAAACUCAAAGGAAGAGAAAAAACCCCAGGAGGAAUUGUCGUUUGUAUCUGUAUCUGGUUCCCUCAUCAUAAUCUCUCCCCAAGGAAAACGCGUUUUUAUUCCCUAGCUGCUGUUGUGAUGACUGAAAAAGUACCCUUUCUCAAUUCCUCCCGUUCUUUUGUUUAUCUUUUUGUGGACGUGGUAAAACUGGCAGUUUACCUGAUUCCUGGUUUUCAGACCUUUGGGUGAUUUCUCUCUCGCUUGAGUUGAUCAGUUGCUGUCUUAGGUUUGAUGUAGAUAAUUAAACCGUUACAGAAUAUGAUUUAAAUAAAAUCAAAGCUGAGAGGGAGAAAAGUGUGUCUUUUGAGAGGAAGGAGAGGGGCAAGGAGAGCCAGUAUUGUGUAGGGUGUUUGAGUCCCUGAUUUGAUAUGUGACUCUAGGCAAAAUACUUUACCUUUCCAGAUAUCAGGGUCCCCCCACCGUUUAAUAAGAACUUAUUUUGCACUACAUAGUCCUGUCUUCAAUUUUUUAAAAUUCUAUAAUUUUGAGAUGAUCUCUCUUUCGUCCUGAAAAUGGAGAAACUUACAUCUAAGUUUCCUUCUCAAAAAAAUAUUUGAGGAGGAGGGCUGUUAGAAAAUAACUAAAGAACUGCACAUUUUUAUGGAUGUUAGCUAGGUGCAAAUGGGUAGAAGUUUAGAUGUGGUUCAAAUAAAUGUAGGGGGAAAAAGGAAAAUUACAUGCUGUUAUACUUAUUAUAAGUGGAUCCUUAAUUCUGAUUUUUCUAAAAAUUUACUUUUUUAUUCAGCAAGCACUUAUUGGUUCCUCCUGUGUUUGCGUUACUAUGUAAGCUGCUGUGGGAAAUACCAAAAAAAUAAAAGUUAAAGUCUUGGGCCUAAAAAAUUUGCAUUUUGGUAUGGCAGAAUUGAAGAUUUAAGUCAGAUGUACAAAGAAAACAUAGCUUGUUUAUUUUCUGUAAUUUUUAGCCUCCUUGAGUCUCCACAUUAUCUCUUUUCUUUUUUACCAUGCUGAGUCAGAUUUUAUUUCUCUACCUCUCUCUCAUUCCAAGUUAUGUAUGGGGGUCGAGGGUUGCUGUUUAAGGCAUAGAUGGGAUGUCUUUCACAUCUUUGGCAUCCUGGGUUUCUGGGUUUAUUACAAGAGUUCUCUGGCGUGUAGCAGUAAGAUGCCUUGUUCUAACAAAACCAAUAUAUUAUGACAAUUUUCUGAUAGAUGGAAGUAACGUAUCUUGAGAAAGGGAGUGCCUUUUUCUAAUUCACACAGUGACAGGUAGGCUGGUAGCAGCCCUGAGGGAUGAGAGGCUUACAUGGCAUCAGGGAAGGGCCCUGAGCCAUGCGUGCCCGGCCUUGUGUUGUCCUCUGGUAUGGAGUGGCUGGUAUGGGUUGAAAGCAGGACUGCUAGCCUCAGUGGUAAAACUGGUCAUUUCUGUCCUUUUGAGAUGUCAUGCUGGUUCCUCUGUAGUUCCUUUGCAGAAGUCCAUACCUGAGCCAUUUGCCCUAUACACUGCAACCUUUGUACUGACCCCGGGUCCCUGCAGGUCCAUUGAUUCUCACAGUGCCGCUCUCUCUUCUCACUGAGAUGUGUGGGAACUUCUAGGUUCCCCGAAUACCACAUGUAGGCCGUGCAGAGCCAGGAGCCUUGCUUUGCGCUCAUUUAUUGAGCCACUUCCCUCCAUCAAUGUUGCGUUAUUCUCCCCAUGUCAUACUGAACAUGCUGUCAAGCUGAAAGCAGAAUUCCUAGAGGGCUCAGCCUUUCACAGGAUGCCCAGAGAAGCAUACUAUCCCCAAUUUUCUUGGAUUUCCCCAUAUCUAUAUGAAUACUUCAACUCUGUACCUCCAGUUCUAGUUGCCACCAUGAGAAGGGACGGAAGAAACUCUUAGGAGGACCAGCUCAACUCUCAGGGGUCCCAGGGAUUUACGGUGAGGAGCGGUGGUAAUAACUGAGGGAGCUGCUAAUCUCUCGCAAUUGGACAAUCCUGGAUGAACAAAGUUCCCAACUCUGUGGGUCUGGCAGGCCAACUCUGUCCUGGCACCUGGUCAGCUAUUUAAAGAAUAUUGAUUUGAAGAAGUGCCAGAUUACUCCUUUUCCCAGGGCUCCCACAUGACAUGAGCCAGUACUUUCUUAGUCUUUCUCUCUAUUGCCUGUCUAAUGUUGCUUAGUUUGGGCCACCUACUGCACAGCUCUCCAAUUCCAUGGCUUCUUCUGAAAAGAUAGUCUAUUGCAAAGAGUGGUGGGAGUGGAGAGGAGGACAAGGGUAAAAACUGAAAAGAUAGGGAGACCCACUGCACCACUAAUAGAACGGCCAAAAUCCAGAACAAUGACAACACCAAAUUCUGGUGAGCAUAUGGAGCAACAGAAAAUCUUGUUCGUUGCUGGUGGGAAUGGCAAAAUGGUUACAGCUACUUUGGAAGACAGUUGGCGAUUUCUUACAAAACUAAAUAUGCUCUUACCAUAUGAUCCAGCAAUCAUGCUCCCUGGUAUUUACCCAAAGGAAUUUAAAACCUAUAUCUACACAAAAACCUGAACACAGAUGUUUAUAGCAGCUUUGUUCAUAAUUGCCAAAACUUGGAAGCAACCAAGAUGUUCUUCAGUAGGUAAAUGGAAAAAUGAACUAUGGUACAUCCAGACAAUGGAGUAUUAUUCAACGCUAAAAAGAAAUGAGCUAUCAAGCCAUGAAAAGACAUGGAGGAACCAGAAAUGCAUAUUACUAAGUGAAAGAAGCCAAUCUGAAAAGACUACAUACUGUGUGAUUCUAACUAUAUGACAUUUUGGAAAAAGCAAAACUAUGGAGAUGGUACAAAGAUCCAUGGUUGCCAUGGGUUAGGGAGGAGAGAGGGCUGAAUAGGCAGAGCACAGAGGACUUUUAUGGAAGUGAAACUACUCUGUAUGGUACUAUAAUGGUGAAUUCAUGUCAUUGUAUAUUUGUCCAAACAUAUAGAAUGUACAACACCAAGAGUGAAUCCUAAUGUAAACCAGGGACUUUGAGUGAUAAUGAUUUGUUGGUGUAGGUUCAUCACUUGUAACAAAUGUACCACUCUGGUGGAGAAUGUUGAUGAUGGGGGAGGCUAUGCAUAUGUAGGGACAGGGGAUAUCUGGGAAAUAUCUGUCCUUUCUCCUCAAUUUUGCUGUAAACCUAAAACUGCUCUAAAGAAAUGAAGUCUAUUAAAAAAGACAUACAAAAGCAAUUUCUUUUUUUAAAAAAAGAAACAAAAUUCAGUUUUCUAUGUUUAAUUUUUGAAAAAGCUAUAUUGCCAAACAGACUGUCCACAUGUAUGAUGGACAUUCACUCCCCAAGCGCUGUUCUAGAGGGAGAAGGGUGAUCGCCUCAUACAUGUGUCAACCAUGUCAAAUGACAUUGGCUCUGUGGGGCUCCUACCCUUGUCAUAUUUCUAUUCAGUGUGCAGUGAAUCAUUAAGCAUUUAGAUUUACAUAUAAAAUAAUUGUUGAGAAAAUGUUAGUAUUUAUGUUCUUUACACAGUGGGAGAAGGGGCCUUGGUGUGGAGGUCCAGGUUUUGGAGUGUGAAAACAUUGAGGAGUCUUACCCAAUCCAUUCUCAUUACUUCCCCUCCUCCAUUUCAAGACAGCCUCUGACACUGUAGAAAUUUACACUUACGGAAAUUGAAAAUUAGGGAACCGAUCCUUUUGUGUAAGUAAAACCCUCCAAGCUACUACUUACCUAGGAUCACAAAUGAAAGGAGUCAGACUUUUGAAAACAAACAGAUCAACAGAUUAAACACCCUCUAGACUUCUAAUAACCCUAGUUAAAAACCCUUAGUUAAAAAGUAAACAAUUAAGUGAUACUCAUCAAAGGUGGAUAGCUUUUAGCAUAGAAGCUUGUAAUUUUUUUUUUUUUAGGGAGCCUUACUUGGAAUCCAUCUUGUUCUAACAAGAAGGUAAUAGAGCUUUCUAGUCAUUACAGACUUCACUUAAAGGGCCAGGUCCCAACACAGGGUAUGUCUCCUUGAUACAGAUCAACUUUAUUAUGAGACUUAUUUUAAUGAAUGCUUAACAUAAAAUUGAGGGUAUUUUUGUUUUAAAAUAUAGUUUGUUAUUAGUCUUCAGGUCAGAAUCCUUUUGGGAAGUGGGCAGGGCAAGGAUUGUUCACCUACAAACAGUAGAGUGAGCAAAUACAACUAGAUCUUCCUGAAGUCUCCACUGAUGAGCCCCCUUUCAAGCCCGACUUCUUGAACCUAAAUGUUUCCCCUGUUCCCCUUGACUCCAACCUCUAGUGUCCUACCUUUGAUGACUGGAUUCUGAUCACUUUAUGUUCCUUGCCUCGUUUCCUGUUUGCUGGACCUGCUCCUCCCAAGGUUCUAAUCUAUGUCGUGGACCUGGGCUGGUAAUUUGACCAAGAUUUCCUGUUUCCUUGCUUGGUAAUUUAAUUUGGCACUAUAAUGAAGUAAAAAAAAACAUGGGCUUUGCAGUCAGAUAGACUUGGGUUUAAAUCCUGGCUGUACCAGUAACUGGUGGUCUGAUUUGGGUAAUGCACCUCUGUAAGUCUCAGUUUCCUUUGCGGUAAAAUGAGGAUAUUAAUGCCCACCUCAAACUAUGGUUGUGAUUGGAAGUAGAUAGUGGAGAUAGUUGCACAACAUUGUGCCAUUGAAUUGUACACUUAAAAAUGGUUAAAAUGGGAAAUUUUAUGUUAUGUAUGUUUUACCACAAUUUUUUAAAAAGAAAAAAAUAUGGUUGUGAGAAUUAGUCUUUGUGGAACAUCCAUUACGAUGCUUGGUGCAUAGAGGCUCUCAACAAAUAGUAGCUGUAUAGCAUAGAAUAUUUUAUAUUGACAGUAGUAAAAAAGCACAACUCAAACUGCUUUAAACAAUAAGGAAAUGUACUGGAUCAUAAAAUUGAAAAGUUCAGAGGUAGGGCAGGCUUUGGGUUAGUUUGAGUCACUAAGGACUGUUUCUCUAAGUCGUCAGUUACUACAGACUCAGCCAUUUCACUAAGAGCUCAGUUUCUUUCCAUCUUUCCACUCUGCCUUCUGUAAUGCCAGCUUUUCCUAAAGCUAGCAAUUCUCAUGAUCACAAGAUGCCUGCCAAUAGGUCCAAAAAGUACAUGUUCCCUCGUCCACGUCUACAGAGCCUGACUUCCAGCAGUCCAGCAAGCAUCCUGAUAUUCACUUGCUUAAAUCCAAAAACUGUGCAUAGGAAGAUGGAAUGUGAUGGUUGGCUUAAACUAACCAGGGAGAGGGUCAGCUUCUCUGGAAGCACAUGGGCUGCAUGGGGAGGGGUGGAUUCCUGAAAUGAAAAUAAAAGUACUGUGGAGGAGAGAAAGCAGGGCUAAGAUGCUGAGGAAGCAACCAACAAAAGUCCAUUUUCAUAGCUAUUAUCAUUAUUGGCUUUCUUGGCCCUUAGCCCUUGGCUCUUGGCUAUUUCUUUGGAAAUCAUUACAAAAACAAAAACUAAGAGAGCUUUUAUUUUGAGUAAGUGUAUUCUUUCUAGCAAAGGAAGAUCAAUAAGUAGAAAAGUAAGCUUAAUUUAACUGAGUGUUAGGCAUCUGGAACACCAGGCAAACAAGCAGCAAAAUGCACAGAAUGAAGGAGUUUAACAGGAAUGAAUGUCAGGGACGAGGAGCAGGGAGGAAGCUUGAAAUAUGGUGACUUGCCAAAGUGCCAAACCCAGCAGGGUGAAGUUAGCUACUGGCCUGUUCUUUACUGGAACCAGGUUAGAAGUCAUGACCUGGGUCAGGAUGAAGAGAUGACUUAUCAAGAGGAGGGGACAUUAGCCAAAGCAAAGCUGACAGAAGAAAGAGCUGAUUGAAACCUGAUUUUGACUGCUCGGCCUGUGCCUCUGCAGCUGCUAUCUGCUCAUCUUUCUCUUUUUGACCCAGCCCCCACCUAAUGACUCGCCAAUUUCUGCCAAUUUUAUCCUUGUCCCCUCUGCCAAGAAGGCUCUUGUGCAUUCCUUUGCUGCACUUCAUCUGGCCGAUUCUUACCCUUUGGUUAGGAUUUUCAGUUCUGUCUUUUCUUCCCAGGAAGGCCUUCCAGUACACCACUGCUGCCCCAUCUUCCCCCACCCAAGACACCACAGGCUGAUGAAAUAAUCCUGUUUGGUACUCUCUACCUGUAAUCAACACCCAGUAGCCUAUUGAUUAGUUUAUUUGUCUGGUCCCAAUCUCUGACCGCUCUUCCCCACCACAUCAGAGCUAGUGAAGAGCAGGGACUUUACCGUAGUCAUUUUUGGUUCCACGAUGCCCAGCACAGUGCCUGGCAUGUAGUAGGAGCUCAAGGAAUGAAGGAGGUAAUUCCUUUGGUUACCAUCUGAUAUCCUCUUCGCCAGGACUUAAGAAAUAGAACAACACAUAAAAACCAAAGUGUUCUCCUUACCUGGAAAGAAGGAGUUGGGGAUGAGGAAAACAGACACGUUAAAUAGAUUUCGUAGCAGUUUGUACCCACCUAGACUCAGGAAGGGAUGAAGACAGAAUCAAAACUGCCAAGGUCCAAAAUGCCUCUUCUCCUUUGCUACCCUCUGUUUUCAAACACUGUUCCCACACUGUUAAAGGAUCUUUAUUUUCCCUGUUUAGUCACAUCGUGUUCACAAUUUUUGUGUUGUUUUUUCCCUUCAGAGAGUCAGGAUGUGAUUAUUAUAUGAAAGUGACCAUUAUAAUAGUUGAGACUUACAAAUGCUAGUUAUUGGCAUUUACAGAGUGAAGCAAGCCACCUGAACUAAAUACCAGGUGCUCAGUAAACUUGCUGUAAUACCUCAUUCCUGGUUACAAAGAGCUCAUAUGACCUUUCGGUAGGGAAUUUGUUUUCUGUUUAAUUUAUUUUUCCAUUCUGAAACAGAGGUUCAUCCUUUAUAGGAAAGGAGUCAAUUAUUGGGUAAACACAGUAACACCUAAUGACUAUUCCCUCUGGUAUUUAGUCUCAAAACAUUUUGCAUUUCUUAAUACAUAGAAUUAAAAAUAUUUUAACAUUACGCUAAAAUGUGACUACAUACAAUUUUAAAUGUUCCAGGAGGCAGAACACUCAGCCCUAUUUCUCAAGCAGGCUAACUGAAAGGUCUUCUGCUUCACCUGGUGGUUAGGUUUUGACAAUAAGCUAAGGGAAGAAGUUGCAGAAGUGAGGGCUCACCUUAACAACCUCUUGUAGGUUUAUUUAGGAUUAUUUGGAGGCAGGACCAGCCAUAGGCGAGUUUCCGAUGUAAUGUGUCUUUAGGCCCCACCCCUGCAUGACCCAUGACUGUUUCAAGACCACUUUUCCCCACUCUUGGUGUCCUUCCUGGUAGGUCCUCAUGCUCUCAGGCCAUGCCUUUAUGACCAGAGCUGAGGGCUGCCACACUGUUCCUACAUAAUGACCCACAUGUACACUGUGCUCUAACUCUCGUUACUCCCGCGCAGCUUCCCAUAAGAAUUAUAAUAAUGCUCUUAAUUUUAAAGUAUACUUUUAAAAAUCGUAUUUUAAGGUUUUCUCAAUUCUAAGACAUACAUACUCCUCUCUUCCCCAACCAUUUCAAUAUUUCUGAAAUUGGAAUUAAUUUUAGUCUUUUUCUUUUUUUCUCCUAAAAAAGUAGUUACUACAAUCUUACAUUUAAAAGUGUCUUAGAAUUGGAGAGAUAUGGUAUGAAUGUACUCUAUUGGAGAUAACUAGUUUCUUCAAGAGUCAGAAAAUUGUGCUCCAUGUGGAGAUUUGAGUUAUCACACAGCUAAUUCAAGCAGAAAAAGGACUUUUGGGUAGGAAUAUAUGAAUAGUUUAAACAAAACAAACUAAUUGCUAGUUGGUUAUCUGGACUAACUGUUGUCCAGAUAAUUAUCUUAACCCUCUGCCUGCUUUUCAUUUUCUAGUUUGGAGAUGGGAUGCAAAGGAAAUGGGAAGCUAAAUGUUUCCGUCAAAUAAAAGAUAGGGGAUCUCAAACUCUCUCUCUACACAAAUUGGCCUAAAGCCUAAUAUUUGUGUUGGACAAGAGGCUGGGGUUAUAAACAGAACCAUCUAUAGAACAUCCUUGAUGUGGAUGACCGGUUAUCUCAAACCACCCCUGAGGUCUUCCCUGAAAGGAUUGUAACUUGAUGUCAUCUAUUCUUGCUAAAGAGAUGAUGGCUGUUUUGGUCACUGGUCUGUGGAGAGGGGCAGAGCUUCAACACAACUAUGAACACACAUGAUUCCUGCCUUGGGUAAAGUGCUCGGAGACAUCUGAGCCCCAUUUGUGAUGUUCUGCAAAAUCAUACAGUAUUUUUCUAAAAUAUUUUUGGGAAGACAAUUAUAAGUUGAAGACAAGCAUUAUUCUAAGUAUCCACUCCCAAACAGUCUUAGUUGUUAAAAUUAAGAAUAAAGUAGAAAUUCUAAGAACAUGCUUGUCCCUGACAUUUGCAGUACCUAGGACAAGAGUACAAGUGGAGGACUAUGUACGUCUAAAUCAUUAAAAAUUAUAUAUCAAGCUAAAAAACCAUUAAAUAAAUGUAUUCCAUUCACCUUCCUUGAUAAAUAUACCUUUAUUAUGACAAAACAUUUUUAAUUGUAUAAAGCAAUGGCUUUUAUAUGACUGAAAGUCAGCUAAACAGCAAAAAUGACUGAACUUAAUUAUUAUCGUACAUUUGGGUAUUCUGUGGAUGGACUGGUGAUGUUUGGAUGAGUAAUAAGAUAAAGUACAUAAUUCAUUAAUUAUCAUAUAUUUAUGUGUUUUCUUUUUCUUUUUUUCAGGUAAAUCACCAAUCAUAUUGUUAUAAUCCACAUAAUUUGUGUUCUGUUGACACUAAUGACAAGAUAUACAACGUUUCUUGAAUCAACGUACUUAUUAGUUUUUUAUCUUUUUAUUACGGAAAAUUUCAAACAUUUACAAACAUAGAGGAUAAAAAACUCCAUGUACCUAUCAUCCAGCUUCAACAAUUGUUAACCCUUGGUUGAGCUUGCUUCAUCUAUACUCCCCAACUCUCUAAACCCAAUUAUUUUGAUGCAAAUCCUAGAUAUCAUUCUAUCCGUGAAUAUAUCAAUAUGCAUCUCUAGAAAAAAGGAUUUCCUAAAAAAUUAACCUUAGUACUAUUGUCACAUGAAAAAAUAAUUCCUUAAUAUCAGAUGUUUUAAAAAUUUGUUUCAAUAAAAUUGGAAAAGUUUUAUUCAGCUGAGGCAGUAGCAACCAGAAUUGUUAGCAAAAUUUCUCAACAUUUAUAUUUGGAAAUGAACCAUGAAUUUUACAUAUUAAUUUCAAACAUUUUAAUGGGAUUGCAAUAAUGAUCAUUACCACAGAAAAUAAUACAAAAUUUUAAUUUUAUCGAAUAAAUUCUACAAUUUGCAUUGUGAUUGUUUCCCCACCAGCCUUUAAGCAAUAUCUAUAUCCAUACAGUGUUAAGUUCUUUCAAUAUUUUCAAUGCUUAGAUAUCAUAAAGAAAAACAACAAGAAAAAUAUGUGGUUCAAUUUUUUCAAAUUUCCCAUCAUAGGAGACCAUACCUCUAUCUAGAAUGCACAGAAAAUAGCAUGUAUAUAUCUAUAUAUAUGUGUGUAAUAUAUAUAUAUAUAUUUUUUAAGUAUGCUUUUUUUUUUUUUUGUGAAGAAGUUGGCCCUGAGCUAACAUCUGUUGCCAAUCUUCCUCUUUUUUUUUUUUCUUCCCAAAGCCCCAAUACAUAGUUGUAUACCCUAGUUGUAGGUCAUUCUAUCUCUUCUAUGUGGGAUGCUGCCACAGCAUGGCUUGAUGAGUGGUAUGUAGAUCUGUGCCCAGGAUCCAAACUGGGAAACCCCAGACUACCAAAGCAGAGUGCACAAACUUAACCACUUGGCCAUGGGGCCGGCCCCUAUAGGCAUAUUUUUAUAUAUGAGCAUCUUCAUAAUCAUGCAAACAGUUUUCUUUCCUUGUUCCAAUGUUCUUUUAUCUUAUUGGAAUAUCACUUUUGUUGUAUAAGUCACAUUUAGUAUCUUUCUAUUUAGAAAAAUCAUUUUCUCUAAAAAUUUAAAAAGUUAUUUAAAAUUAUUCAAAAAUUGAAAUAGGCAAACUUAGAUCUGUUUAUGUCUUCUGUAAACUUUUGCUAACACCAUUAAUAGUAGGCAAUGGUCCAUAUCAAAUAACUGUGGUUAGCACAAAAUAAAAAAUAUUUUCUACCAUAGGCCACAUUUCCUUAUUUAUUUGAGGAUCCUCUAUUGUUUCACUUAACUAUUCUAGUGCAUCUCCCUAUCUUGUCUAAAUUCAAUCUAACUGCUCUAACAGCAUUUAAAUGGCAUCUCCAUUGUUAACCAGAGUGGCUGUGAGGUCAAAUUUGAUAUGUUUUUAAUCAAGAUGACCAUGUUGGGUCAGAUCCAGAAAAUAUUGUAUAUAAUCUUUGAAUCACUCCAAAGAAUGUCGUUGAUAUUGUCAGAGUUGAGGUCGUGUGUCUUCUAAGAACAUGUUGAUAGAUAGUCAAUAAAUUUGUAAGUGUUUGUGUUAGUAAGAUGCAGGGCCCUCUGAAGUACAGGGCUCAGGGCAGGGGCUCCUCUUGCCUGAGUCUAAGAGUGGCAUUGCAGGUUAAUAAUAAAUGUAAGUAUUAAUAAUACCUUAUUAUGUGCUGCAUUUUUUGAAGUGCUUCCACAUUUAUGAUUUCUUUUGAUCUUCACAAUAACCUAUGGACUAGAUAGAGCAAUUAGAGAUGAGAAACAGAGGUCUAGAGAGGUUAAGUGAUUUAUCUAAAAUUACACAUCUAAUUAGUGGUAGAGCUGGGGGUGAAACCUAGGUCUCCAUUCACAGGUCUUCCUGUUGUACUAUAUUAUACCAUGCUACCUUCUUAAUGUUUUUGAAACAAGGAGACCUGACAGUUAGACGGGUUGCAUCCCAACAUUUUUCAUUGCUUAAAACCCCUUGGAUUUUAUAAGAGAAAAUAAAUAUAGGACAAUGAAUUUAAAAAAAAAAGCCGUAUUCUCUUUCAUAUCUGUUAAGUCUGUGUGGGACCAAUAUAUACUUAUUGACCAGUGCUCCAAAAACUAGAGAUUUAUCUCCUUCCAGGGAAAGGUUCACUUGAGUAAUACAGAAUACAGAAUAAAUCUUCUGAAGGGUGAGGAUCAUAUUCCUUAACUUACUCAUAAGGUACUAAGUACAACUCGAGGAACAUAAAAUUUGGGAGCAUCUUAUAAGAGCCAGGGAUCUUGGAAUGCUUACUUCUUAGUGCAAUAUACAGCACCUAGAAGUACAAAACGUGUAUGAAAAUGAAUAUAAUCCUCUUUUAAUCGUGCAAGCCAGACGUCUUGCUGAUAGCCCUGUGCAGUUUGCUCUGUACUGCCUUGGUGCCUCUGCCCUCUGCUCAGAUAGACCCAAGACUGUAAGUGCUUACUCAAAUCCUUUUUUCCCUCUCCACUUUUUAUCACUUCGAAUUUAGAAUGCAUCUUAAAGUCAAUGGCAUCGUAGAUGAAAUAGAACAUAGCCAGCUGUUAAUGAUGGCUACCUGUGGUGAAUUCUGUAUGGCUUGCGCUCUCUACAAUAAGAACGCAUUAUUUUUAUAAUGAAAACAAAUUUUAAAAAUUUUAGACAAAAAAUCUUAUGUGGUUUGUAUACCCUAUCUCUUAGUACUAAAAGGAUAUCAAGAAUGUAAUAACAGUAAUUAGCAUUUUAUAAGAUUGUUUAUUCAUAAUGGAUUUCAUAAGCCCCACAUGCUAGCAAUAGGCUUGAUGCUAGCAGUAGGCAGUUAGCUGUGAAUUAUCCACGAUGGAAACACUCCUUAGAGCUCCCUGGUACUUACUAUAUUGUAUUUUAAUUGUCUGUUUACUUGGUCAUUUUUUUCUACAUGAGUGAGAACUCCUUAAGGGCAGGAAGUGUGCUCAUUCAUUGUUGUGUCUGCAGAGCCUAACACAGAGCUGAGUCUAUCAAGAUGGUAAAAUAAAUGAUUGAAUGAUAGACCUGAAGGUACUCAAUAUUUUUUUGAAUGUUAUUUCUGCCUAUGUAAUUAAACAGUUUGUCUUUGGACAGGGUGAUUAUUCUCUGCUGGGAUGUGGCUUGUUCAUUUUUCCUUUGUGGAUGGUGAAUAGCAAGGCACAAGCAGGAAGUGUUAUUUUUAGGAAGUGUCUCUAUAUUCUCCCCUCAGGCAUUUACAGCCUUAGCUUUCUGUUGUCAGUUCUGUUAAUCUACCUAAUUAUUGUGUAAGCAGGUAGAGAAAAUCACUUUCCAACUUGCUACUAAAUUAAAUAUCUUACCGAGACAGUGGUAAGUAGGGGAAGUUUGAAAUAUUUUUUUUUAUUACUUAAAUUGGAGGAAAAAAUCCUGCCAGUGAAAAUUUCUCAUCUGGUCUUUAAACUCUGGUAUCAUGUUUAUAUAGGGCAAGCCUGUUUGGGAGAAUGUUCUCAGUUCCUAUAGUUCCAUGGUGAAGGAUUGAGCCUAUUUUUUUUUUUAUAGAAUCUGGUACAUAAAUAAAAAUUUAAAUGUGGAUUUUUUUCAAGGAAUGGGAGAAAAUAUUUGUAAAUCAUAUAUCUGACAAGGGAUUAACAUCCACAGUAUAUAAAGAAUACCUGCAACUCAACAACAACAUCAAACCCAAUCAACCCAGUUAAGAAAUGGGCAAAGAACUUGAAUAGGCAUUUCUCCAAAGAAGAUAAACAGAUGGCCAAUAAGCACAGAAAAGAUGCUCAAUAUCACUAAUCAUUAGGGAAAUUCAAAUCAAACCACAAAGAGAUACCACUUCAGAACCAUUAGGAUGGCAUGUGGAAAUAACACGUGUUUGUGAGGAAGAGAAAAAGUUUGUGGGAGAAAUUAGAACCCUUGUGCAUUGAAUGUAAAAUGGUGCAGCCUUUGUGGAAAAGAGUAUAGAAGUUCCCCAAAAAAUUAAACAUGAAAUUACCAUAUGAGCCAGGAAUUCCACUACUUGGUUUAUACCCCAAAGAAUGGAAAGCAGGGACUGAAACAGAUAUUUGUAUACCAAUUCAUAGCAGCAUUAUUCACAAUAGCCAAAAGGGGGAAACCCAAAUGUCCAGUAACAGUUGAAUGGUUAAACAAAAUAGGGUUUCUAUAUAUAUACAAUGGAAUAUUAUUCAGUCUUGAAAAGGAUAAUCUGAUACGUGCUACAACAUGGAUGAACCUUGAAAACGUUAUGCUAGGUGAAAUAAGCCCAACACAAAAGGACAAAUAUUCUAUGAUCCAUUUAUAUGAGAUACUUGUUGUUGUUAGUGCCAUUGAGUCGAUUCUGACUCCUAAUGACCCUGUGUGCAGAAGAGUGGAACCCUGUCUGGUUUUCUUUGAGCCAUCCUCUCAUCUUUCGGCACUAUCAGACAAUGCUCCGCUUCUAUUUGUGGGGUUUUCAUGGCCAGUUUUUUCAUACCUUCUUCCUAGUCUGUCUUAGUCUGGAAGUUCUGCUGAAACCUGUCCACCAUGGGUGACAUUUUUCCCUGGUAUUUCCCUGGUACUGUAGCUUUCAGCAUCACAACACACAGCCGCCACAGUAUGACAACUGAGAGACAUGUGGUGUGGUUCUAUGACCGGGAAAUGAACCCAGGCCUUGGUGGUGAGACCGCCGAAUCUUAACCACUAGACCACCAGGGCUGGCUAUGAGGGGAUUAGAGUGGUCAAAUUCAAAAAGACAGAAAAUAAAAUGGUGAUUGUUAGAGGCUGGGAAGAGGGAGGAGUGGGGAGUUACUGUUUAAUGGGUAGAGUUUCAAUUUGGGAAGAUAAAAAUGUUCCAGAGAUGGAUGGUGGUGAUGGUUGCACAAUGUGAAUGUACUUAAUGCCACUGAACUGUACACCUAAAAUUUUACAUGUCUAUUUUGCCACAAUAAAAAAAAUACUUGACAUUUACUUAGCACUAUUUAAAAAGCACUUUUACUUGCAGUAUUUUAUUUGUUCCUCAAAACAAUCUUGAGUAACAGGCAGGGCAGUUGUUAUUAUCCUCAUCUUACAGAUAUGGAAAUGAGAGCUCAUUUGGUUUAAGUGAACAGCCAAGGGAUACAAAACUAGGAAGUGGCAGAGUCAGAAUUAGGACCCAGGGGCCGGCUCCAUGGCCGAGUGGUUAAGUUUGCAUGCUCUGCUGCGGCGGCCCAGGGUUCGGAUCCUGGGCGUGGACAUGGC